RNAcentral lists this ribosomal RNA (253 nucleotides) under uncultured bacterium. Its description in RNAcentral is "partial 16S ribosomal RNA". It matches the Rfam family "Bacterial small subunit ribosomal RNA", at positions 524 to 776 of the family's 1533-position model. The record is from RNAcentral.
GACGGAGGGUGCUAGCGUUGUUCGGAAUGACUGGGCGUAAAGGGCGCGUAGGCGGCCGCUUGCGUCGGAUGUGAAAGCCCGGGGCUCAACCCCGGAACGGCAUCCGAUACGGGGCGGCUCGAGACCGAGAGAGGUGAGUGGAAUACCCAGUGUAGAGGUGAAAUGCGUAGAUAUCUGGAGGAACACCGGUGGCGAAGGCGGCAUCCUGGACCGGCAUUGACGCUGAGGCGCGAAAGCCAGGGGAGCAAACGGG